RNAcentral lists this long non-coding RNA (354 nucleotides) under Homo sapiens (human). Its description in RNAcentral is "HSALNT0170387". Lineage: Eukaryota; Metazoa; Chordata; Mammalia; Primates; Hominidae. The record is from RNAcentral.
CGUCGAAAGUGGCUUCCAGCAGAGGACACUUGGGAGGGACACAGCCACACCCAGGACCCAAGGCCCGAGAGUGGACCAGGAAGAACGUGUCAGAGGAUCUCUGCGCCGCAGCAUCUGGGUUGCAUCCUGUGAGAGACGCCGCGGGAGCCCAGCAGCACGGCGUUUUCUGAGUGUGGCCCCAUGGGCAGCAGCAGUGAGGCCUGCAGGGCGUGAGGGCCUCCCCUGCUGCUCCCCUGCCCUGUCACUCACCACAUCCCGCAUGUGGGGCCUCCCUGCUGGUGAUGAAACCUACCACACUUGGGCCACUGGUCAUGAUUCCUGCAAUAACCAGCUCCCUGAUAAUUAAGAUCUGUU